AGGCCUGGAUGAAUGAAAAGUUUGCCCCUGAGCUGCUGGAGAGCAAGCCUGAGAUUGUAGAAUGUGUCAUGGAACAGCUGGAGCACAUGGAAGAAAAUCUCAGGAGAGCCAAAAGGGAGGACCUGAAGGUCAGCAUCCACCAAAUGGAGAUGGAGAGGAUCCGCUAUGUCCUCAGCAGCUACUUGCGGUGUCGCCUCAUGAAGAUAGAGAAGUUUUUCCCUCAUGUCCUUGAGAAGGAGAAAACACGUCCUGAGGGGGAGCCUUCCAGCCUCUCGCCGGAAGAGUUGGCCUUUGCCAGAGAGUUCAUGGCGAACACAGAGUCCUAUCUGAAAAAUGUCGCCUUGAAGCACAUGCCCCCUAACUUACAGAAGGUGGACCUCUUUCGGGCAG
RNAcentral lists this small RNA (390 nucleotides) under Pongo abelii (Sumatran orangutan). RNAcentral's name for it is "retained intron". The record is from RNAcentral. Lineage: Eukaryota; Metazoa; Chordata; Mammalia; Primates; Hominidae.